RNAcentral lists this long non-coding RNA (5753 nucleotides) under Callithrix jacchus (white-tufted-ear marmoset). RNAcentral's name for it is "lncRNA (ENSCJAG00000083613.1)". The record is from RNAcentral. Lineage: Eukaryota; Metazoa; Chordata; Mammalia; Primates; Cebidae.
GAGUACCAGGAUGGAGACUCAGAAACAGGCGAGUAGUGAGUCGUCUGGGCGAUGAGCUAGAGGAGGAUGAGAGUCAGAGAGAGGGGAGACAGCAAGACGUUCAGAAGCAGUUCAGGCCCUGGAAGGAAUGCAGGGAGCAAAGGCUGUGGCGGGGAAGGGUCUUUGUGGGUCCUUGCAGGGUCCCAGGAAGGUGAGGAUGAGAGCCCUAGAGCCACUUCUUGCUCUUAGGCCAAGGCCUGACUCCGGAGGGGAGCUGAGGAGGCCACCUAUGCAGCAGGGAUGGGCGCCAGCCCUCCUCCCCCAGCUCCUGGCACCUGCAGGGGUGUGCCCAUCAGGGUGGGGGGCAGGCUAAGCUGCGUCCUAGCUCCGAGCGCAGGAGCUAGUGGGGUUUCUUCGGAGCGAUUGUUUAGUAUUCAUGGGGCGACGCAAUCUCUCCCACAUCUGCUUAGCACAGCAAGUCCUGUCAUAUAACUGUCUCCCGCACUGUCUGUCCAUAAAGAAUGUCUCGGAAUUGGUGUAAUUCAGAGAAAUUAAUGACGACUUUCCGCGGGACGGCUCCCUGGGGGAUGAUUAACACUUCAUCGUCCAUCUGAUGCGCGGGGCCCAGCGCUCCAUCGCGAACAUUUGGGCCGUGGCCAGCCGCAUUAAAGACCAGCCUCUCAGCCUUUUACAAGAUUGCCCCAUACUGUCCUCGUCUGGGAAGCCCUCCUUGACUGAUCCUCCUGGUUCAGGAUCCCAAACUUUUUCUUCCGAAACCACUGCCCAGGUGCUUGCAGGCCUCUUCCUAUUCUUCUCUUUCCUGGUCCCCAUGUACCAGCGCCUCCCUGUGAGCAGGGGUGUCUUCUCCUCUCUAGGUAUCUGCCUCCUUUCUUCUUUCCUGUCUCCCAAGACCCCUCUUCAUGAACCAGGAGAAUCAAUACUGCAGGGGAGGUGGCCAGAACCCUUCCCCGUUUGAUGUUUUCUGGGAAUGGCAGGGGUCAUGGAGUCCCGUUGCGUCUCACGGUCUCAUACUGAGGAGCGGGAGGUGGUGCGGACCCUUUCCCUGACCAGAUCUCCGUGGCUUACUCUGGUGUAGCCACCCCCCCUCCCCGCGCCCCACUCCUCCUGCUCUGGUUGCCCCCUGCCAUGUUAACAGCUCUAGGCUGCUGUGCUGGAGCCCCUGGGAUGCUGGGUGUGGUGGGGCAGUGGCCGGCGGCCCCUCUGUGAUUCUCAGAUUCUCGUCUUGGGGCUCUCAUCACACCUGACUGCCCGCUCCCCGACGGAAGCCCUCUGUUAGUGUUCGUCAGGUUUCCCUUUCCUUCUCCCACCCAAUCCUCACCCAGCCCAUUUACCAGAAGAGCUGGAGUCCUUCCAGAAAGUUUGUCCUUUCCUGGGACCCUCGGGGUGGGCAGCCCCCAGGUGAGGAGGGGGUGAGUGGAGACUGGGUGGAGGCCAGGGUCCUGGCUAGAUCUAGUGAGGCGCCAGGUUUAGCUCUGGAUCAAUCGAUGCUUUGGCCGCCACCUUGUGGCAGAUACGGAGAACUGCAGGGUUGGGGUCCCAGCGCUGAGAGUGGGACCUUCUGGAAAGGGAGGAGGAGAUGAUCGCAGGGGUGUACAUUAUGAGGGUAGCAAACCUCAGAUUUCCAAAUUGCCAUUAGGGUCUUCCUAUUCCUGCCUGACAGGGAAGUAGAAACCGGCCAAGUAGCAAGGACACUUAUGGAUGGAGACAGAAUUGAAACUCUGGCCUCAAGUCCCAAACCUAUUGUUCUAAUCCUCCUUUCCUAAAACAGAAACAAAACGAAAACAAAAACCAAAACCCUAAAAGGGAAACAGUCUGAAACUGAAGCAGGAGGAGCUGAGGUCUGAUCUGCGGAAGUUCCAGUAAGUCCCAAAGUGUAUUUGGAUGCUACUGCCUGUGAGCCUGCACGGCUUUCUCGCAGCUACUCUCGAUCCGGUCAGCGAGUCUCCCACCUUAAUCCCAUCAUGCUAAGUUCAUCGGUCCUAUUCAGAAAAUCCCAGGUUCCGUAGCCUUUCCACCCCAUCCUGGCUUGUUCCUAUAACCAAGAUGCUGAUCUGGAAAGUCCCGUCUCCGGUCUAACUCCAAUCCUUCCGACAGCACUGGAAAUGCAGAGAACCACCAUAUAGCUAUCAGAGCUGCAGAUGGGCAGCCGGCACCCUAAGAAAGUGGGGAAGACGAGGAGGGUUCCAAGGAAAGGCAGCUCUGCCUCAGUUUCUCCUGCCAUCUUCCUUGCCCCUGCCCCCUUGGAUCCUUGGAGAAGAAGGGGAUGCAACAGAGUGGUCUACCUCCCUGGAGAAUUAUCUCUGCUUGGGUUCCAGGAUUCACAGGUGCUAGGGGAAGGGAACCUCUGAGUUCCAACCAUGAGCCUUGUUAUCCUCCUUUGUAGAAUGGGUACUGUGGAGGGUGAAGACGGAGGCAUUUGUCUCUAUCAGCCUUCUUGUCUCACUUAGAGUCCCUCUGAAGCCGUUUUCUGUCUUUCCACUUAAAUCCCAGGCCCUCAGAAGCUCUUAUAAUGAUUCUUAGAGCUCCUACAUCACUCCCUCUCGGUCCAGCUCCCUUCUCCGGUGAGCCAAGGCCCACCAAAUCCUCCCUCUGCUUCCUUUGGCACUUCUCGGAGAUUUUGGCCAGGAGCACCGGCUCUGCAGGCCCAGCGCCCUCCCUCUGAGGUGCCAUUCCUCCCCUGCCUCAUUUGCUGCCGCUGACCUUACUGAGUUAAAUUAAAAAGCAAUGUUCUGUGUGCGGCUCCAGCCCUGUGGAGCUUGACUCUGGGAAGACGAAGACAAUUACUGGCCCCUCCAUCUCCCUCUCGUCUGGCUGCCUUAUAAUUUUUCCCCCUGCUGCCUGGUAUGCAACAUUUAUGUUUUUAAUAACACCAGAAUGGUUUUGACCUUGGGAAUUCAUAGCAGACUGGGCACUGAGAGAGGCCCCGACGUGAUUGGCGUUUGUCUCAGUCCUUUGCAGGGAGGAGGCUCUAGCGCCUCCUGGAUUCGGGGGAAGGGGAGUAGGGGCUGCACCCCACAGGGUUUAAGUAGAAAUCUCAAAAACAAGAGUGGACAAGGACAUGGGGAGGAGGGAAAGAGAGGGGGAGGGUGUUGUCUUUUUAGGUUUCCCCUGGAGGAUGAAAGUUAGAGUAAGGUGUUUGAGAGGUUGGGAUGUUUUUCUCCCCUUGUUUUAUAGGAGGAAUCCUAGAUUGGGGAUGGCAUGGAGUACGUGUGUUGGGGGGUAAUGGGGAACGGGUGGUGUGUGAUGCAAGUGUAUACACUCACUCAGCCCAUCAGCCCACAAGCUUGCGCAUAUGCCCCCAACACAAUCGGUUCCAUUUCUUGUCAUUUACUCUCAGCUCCUUUAGCUCUUGAGCUUCAAGGAGAGUAGAUAAAGUGAGGACUAGCUACAGGACUAAGGUCAGACUCAAAGUAGAACUUACCAGCUGAGAGUAAAGUGGGCAGGGGCAGAGUCCUCUUCUGGCUGUAGACAGAUUUUCUACCUUUCUUCCUUUCUCUUUUCUGUGCCCACCUCCCUGGGUAGCUCAGCUUUUGAGAUGAAAGGAGAACUAGUGGCAGCAAGAAUCUGGAGGAGGCAUAGGUUGCUCAGCAGAGGGACGGGAGAGGUGAGAAGCAGUGAAGGGACCAGGUGAGGGGAUGCCUGGGAAGAGAGGGCUAAUCCUGUCCAGGCUUGUCCUCCAGCUGUAGAGGGCUAUGGUAGGAUGGACCAAGGCUAGAGCUGGCAAAAGGCUUCUGUGUCUACAGCUUCGAGGAGCUUCUGGAACUACCAUGAAAAACCCACAUUAUAAAGAAGAGAAGCUUCUUCUGCAGUUCAGAAAGUAGGAAGAGAAGGGACAGAGGGCCAAGUACCUGAGGAUGGGGGUGCACAGCCAGCCGGCUACAGUACACAUCUGUGUCCUGGGUUAACAGUCUUGUGUGCACCAGUUACACAUGUAAACAUGUGGAACAGUGUAGCUUUGGCAUGGAUUUUUUUUUUUUUUUUUUUUUUGAGACAGAGUUUUGCUCUUGUUACCCAGGCUGGAGUGCAAUGGCGUGAUCUCAGCUCACCGCAACCUCUGCCUCCUGGGUUCAGGCAAUUCUCCUGCCUCAGCCUCCUGAGUAGCUGGGAGGCAUGGAUUGUUUAAGCCGUGGAUUUGAGAUGAUGUCUGGUUGUGGCCUGUUGGGUAUGGUUUUAUUUCAGGAGCUGCAGCUGACAGAAUGGGAAGGCCCCUGUGCUGAGAACCAAGAAGUCAUGGGUUCUAGUUCUAGCUCCAGUUAUCAGCUGGGACCCUAGGGAAUGUCACGGAGGAGAGUGGGUGUCAUCUGCUAUAUCAUGAAGGAAAAGCUACGGGCUCCUUCUGUGCCAGCAGACCCAGUGCUAGGAGAAUGAGAAAUUGAAGGGUGGCUUGGGAGAGUGUUGGCAUUUCAGGGACUAGAGAGCUUGAGAAGGGAUGCAAGGAUUCCUGAGUUCAGAAAUUCAGGAGUUCUUGCUCGAGCUGAAGAUGCCCCCAGCCUAGGGCAGCCCAGCUUGGCCUUGCCUGGAUUCCAGACAGCCUCCAGGGCCCACGUCUGGAUCUGCAGGGAGCUCUGUUCUCUGCCGCCCUCCUGUGGCCGCUGAGCCCUUCGCAGGUCGCUGCUGAGAAGAUUCUGCUCCUCCGCAGAGCUGCGUUCCUCGCCCCCUGGUGGAAAUCGCAUAUAUUACAAGUAGCGAUCUUGGGUUUCUAACCGGUUUCCCAUCAGUUUCCCUAGUGUUGGAGGCAUCGACAGCCUCUUCAAAGCAGGGAAGGUCUUCCGGAGAUUUACCACUCUACACCUUUGCCUGGAGUUUUAACUUCUGGUUUUGGAACAAGGGGCUGAAAUUGAACAGAGGGCAAUUUCUCUUCUUUCUCUUUGGGUUUCAUCUACAACCCUGUAUUCCUAGGGUGGCUGUUUUAAAAUCAGGGUCUGGUGACAUUCCUGGAGAAAAUGGGUCUGGAGCAGACCAGGCAUUGUGCGUCUGGGCUUCUUGGCAGUUGCACCUGAGCGCAGUCCGUCAGUGUCGGAAGGGAGAUGAAUUGGCAGGAGCCAGGAGGCAGGAGGCAGGGAUGAUGGAGGGAGAUGGCAUAUUUGACAGAUGCUGACACGGCUCGUUAUUUGCUAGCUCUGGAAUACCCUCCCACCCACCAGGCUGCCCUUGGCCCUCCCCUCCCUGCACUCAAUACUCAUUAGUGAUUGCCUGUCUUUGGGGGAGAAACCCAGUGGGCCAAGCUGCAUGGGGGUGGGCAAGGGAGGGAGAGGAAGAGGAAGGGGCAGGGACAGAAGGCAGAUGCUGGAGGAGCCUUGGCUGGAAUAACUGGGAUUUGGAGCUGAGGUCUGAUGACCACUGGGGUGCUUGGAAGGUGUGGCUGGGAUAUUAUCCAGGGGCCAGAUACUGAGUUGCUGCUGGUGGUGGGUCAGGAGGCAUAUUUAAAGGAAUUGAGUUCCCUGAUUUAGGCACUGAUUUUGGGAGAACUGAUAAAACAGGAGCCGACCAUUUUACCGAGGACUUACUAUGUACAGGGCAGGUCUACAGGUGCUACGAGGGGAUAAAAGAGGCACGCCACGUAUUUCCUGCCCCUUCCUGUGUGUUGAAACCUGCACAUCUCCUCCCUGCACUUGUUGCUGCGUGUGCGGCUGAGGGGUCAAGGUGCUGCUGGGCUGGGAAUGCGGACACAACGCCCCCAAGCAGUUUCUCACCUUCCCACACCCCCUUCCAGUAAAGCUCCUCCAGUAGGCUUCCCACCUCUCCUCAUUCCU